Small nuclear RNA from Papio anubis (olive baboon), 106 nucleotides. NCBI's taxonomy places the organism in Eukaryota, Metazoa, Chordata, Mammalia, Primates, Cercopithecidae. The record is from Ensembl.
GUGUCACUUCAGCAGCACAUACAUGAAGAUUGGAAAAAUACAGAGAAAAUUAGUAUGGCCCCUGUGCAAGGAUGACAGGCAAAUCUGUGAAGCAUUCCAUUUAAAA